RNAcentral lists this ribosomal RNA (455 nucleotides) under uncultured bacterium. RNAcentral describes it as "partial 16S ribosomal RNA". It matches the Rfam family "Bacterial small subunit ribosomal RNA", at positions 27 to 507 of the family's 1533-position model. The record is from RNAcentral.
GGAUGAACGCUGACAGAAUGCUUAACACAUGCAAGUCAACUUGAACUUCGGUUUGGGUGGCGGACGGGUGAGUAACGCGUAAAGAACUUGCCUCACAGCUAGGGACAACAUUUGGAAACGAAUGCUAAUACCUGAUAUUAUGAUUAUAUGGCAUCGUAUAAUUAUGAAAGCUAUAUGCGCUGUGAGAGAGCUUUGCGUCCCAUUAGCUAGUUGGAGAGGUAACAGCUCACCAAGGCGAUGAUGGGUAGCCGGCCUGAGAGGGUGAUCGGCCACAAGGGGACUGAGACACGGCCCUUACUCCUACGGGAGGCAGCAGUGGGGAAUAUUGGACAAUGGACCGAGAGUCUGAUCCAGCAAUUCUGUGUGCACGAUGAAGUUUUUCGGAAUGUAAAGUGCUUUCAGUUGGGAAGAAAAAAAUGACGGUACCAACAGAAGAAGUGACGGCUAAAUACGUG